This 83-nucleotide transfer RNA is filed under the name Trametes sanguinea. RNAcentral's name for it is "tRNA-Asp". It matches the Rfam family "tRNA". From Rfam's summary of the family: Transfer RNA (tRNA) molecules are approximately 80 nucleotides in length. Their secondary structure includes four short double-helical elements and three loops (D, anti-codon, and T loops). Further hydrogen bonds mediate the characteristic L-shaped molecular structure. tRNAs have two regions of fundamental functional importance: the anti-codon, which is responsible for specific mRNA codon recognition, and the 3' end, to which the tRNAs corresponding amino acid is attached (by aminoacyl-tRNA synthetases). tRNAs cope with the degeneracy of the genetic code in two manners: having more than one tRNA (with a specific anti-codon) for a particular amino acid; and 'wobble' base-pairing, i.e. permitting non-standard base-pairing at the 3rd anti-codon position. The record is from RNAcentral. Lineage: Eukaryota; Fungi; Basidiomycota; Agaricomycetes; Polyporales; Polyporaceae.
UCUCUGUUAGUAUAUCGGUUAGUACACGCGCCUGUCACUUCAGCUGGCCGCGCGAAAGCGGGGUUCGACUCCCCGACAGAGAG